GACGAACGCUGGCGGCGUGCCUAAUACAUGCAAGUUGAGCGCUGAAGGUUGGUACUUGUACCGACUGGAUGAGCAGCGAACGGGUGAGUAACGCGUGGGGAAUCUGCCUUUGAGCGGGGGACAACAUUUGGAAACGAAUGCUAAUACCGCAUAAAAACUUUAAACACAAGUCUUAAGUUUGAAAGAUGCAAUUGCAUCACUCAAAGAUGAUCCCGCGUUGUAUUAGCUAGUUGGUGAGGUAAAGGCUCACCAAGGCGAUGAUACAUAGCCGACCUGAGAGGGUGAUCGGCCACAUUGGGACUGAGACACGGCCCAAACUCCUACGGGAGGCAGCAGUAGGGAAUCUUCGGCAAUGGACGAAAGUCUGACCGAGCAACGCCGCGUGAGUGAAGAAGGUUUUCGGAUCGUAAAACUCUGUUGGUAGAGAAGAACGUUGGUGGGAGUGGAAAGCUCAUCAAGUGACGGUAACUACCCAGAAAGGGACGGCUAACUACGUG
RNAcentral lists this ribosomal RNA (497 nucleotides) under uncultured bacterium. RNAcentral describes it as "partial 16S ribosomal RNA". It matches the Rfam family "Bacterial small subunit ribosomal RNA", at positions 28 to 507 of the family's 1533-position model. The record is from RNAcentral.